This 287-nucleotide long non-coding RNA is filed under the name Vigna radiata. Its description in RNAcentral is "long non-coding RNA (VRAD_LNC000753)". Lineage: Eukaryota; Viridiplantae; Streptophyta; Magnoliopsida; Fabales; Fabaceae. The record is from RNAcentral.
ACCAAAACACAAAGAAUGCAUAUAUUUUCACAGAAAGACAAUCACCAAAACACUAGCUUCCCUUACCUUGAAUGAUCUUAGGUUCCUUUAUUUGCCAAGGUUUCCAGCCAAAACUUUCACCUCCUUCGAGUUCACGUUCUCGCCUCAAGUAACUUCAAACUAUUCUUCUGAUUUUCCUAGCCACUAUCUCACAAUGCACACCCUACUUCUCUCUGUUUUUCCAAACCUUUUAACCAGUAAUCCCCCAUCUCCCCUUAACCUCUCUACUUUAAUAGCCCAUAAAUCCA